UCUGUCUCUAGGAGAACCACCAUUCACAGAUGUGCCCUCCCAGAAAACUGCAGGAGCUGGGGAUUUUGCUGGGUUUGUUUGCUUUCAUUCCUUUCCCUUUGGCUGGAGAGAGAGACAAACGGACACAUGCUAGCAGUCUGAAGGAUGAGAAUGGAACUGGAGCCAGUUGGCCGGAGUGCAGGAUUCUCCCCUUUUUAAUUAAGUGUGGACUUGAAUUAUGAGAGGCCGCGGCUCCUGCUGGGCGGGGCUCUGCUGAGGGAAGGCAGUUUCUCUCUGCAGAUUAAGCAUCGUUUUCUCCACUUAGCCCCCCCCCCCAGCUCCCUGAGAGUGUCUAUAUUUGUUCUUGUCAGAAAUAAUGGACAACUAUAUGCUCAGUCAGCUAAGGCGGGGCUAGGGAACCCCUGGGCUGCCAAAACCUAGAGACUAUUCCUGGAAACUGUUUUUGGAGGGAAUAGUGGGGAGUGUGUGUGUGUGUGUGUGUGCGUGCGCACGCGCGCCCGUGCCCUUCUUAAAAAUUAAUUAGAAAUAUUUGAGCCAUAGUCUGAUGUAUCCCAGGCUCGGCUUAAUUUAAACCCACAAUGCAAUUGAGGAUGACCUUGAAUUUCUGAUCCUCCUGCCGCUCCAUCUUCAGAGUGCUGGGCUUGCAGGCUGCACCACCACAGCCAGUUUUUUUACUUAGUCCUAGCUAUGGAGCCCAGGCUCCUCAAGUACCUUGUCCACUCGACUGCCCCAGCUUUUACUGUCAAGGUUUUUGUUUGUUUGUUUGUUUGUUUGUUUGUUUGUUUGUUUUUGCUUUGUUUUGCUUUGCUUUGCUUCAUUUUUCCCCCAACAGAAACUCUUUCUUCUGUUAUUUCCAGCUUCUCCUAUUACAGGGCUUCUCCUAUAGCUCAAGGAGCUGGCUGGAGCUGCCAAUUGAUUUCCUAUUUGUCCCACUGGCCACCCGAGCCUAGAUUCAUCAAGCAGUUUAUAGCAAUGGUUGUUGAUUUACAGUUUGGGGCAGAGCUAAUCUCUUGGUCACCUCUUGGGGGAUACACAGGCUGAAUGCUAAGAAAACACAAUACCUAGCUGGGUGGAGAUCAGGUGUUCAUGACUUCCAUCUGACAUUCCAAAAUAAGAUGUUCCUAUGUGAGCUUUAAACCUCACUGUCUUCCUGAGCCUUUCCAGGUGUGUCAUCUUGUGUCAUUUCCCCUGUGCCCUCAACAGUGGCUAUGUGAACUUCCACGUUAUAUUGGAGCAUUCAAAACUUCAGAGAGCAAUUAGCCUGUGCCACCUUCAGUGGGAGAGGGGACUCUCCCUUUUCUCAUGGAAACUCUCAUUUCCAGACCACCAGGGUCUACGUCUCAUCCUUCAAGGUUAACGAUUCUAAGCCGGUAGAGAGGGUAGCAGGCUGUUUCUUAUCAUCAUUUUGUUUUUGAGAUAGGGUCUCAAAUAGCCCUGGCUGGCCUUGAAGUUGGUAUAUAUUGAGGAAUGACCCUGAACUUAAAAAAAAAAAAAAAAACAACAACAACAACAACAACAAAAAACAGGGUUUCUCUAUGUAGCCUUGGCUGUCCUAGACUUUUGUAAACCAGGCUGGCUUCAAACUCACUCCCACAGAUCCUGCCUACUGAGUGCUGGGAUUAAGGGCUCACGUCACCACGCCAGGUUAAAUAUUAUUUUUUUAAAUUUAAAUUUAAUGUGUACAUCUGCACGCAGGCCUUUAUUUCAUGUGCACACAGUGCCUGUGGGGGCUUGAAGAUGGCACUAGGUUCUCUGGAACUGGAAGUAGAGAUGUUGUGAACCACUGUGUGGGUACCAAGAAUGAACCUAGGGCCUCUGGAAGAACAGCCAGUGCUCUUAACUGCUGAAGCAUCUCUCCAGCCCUCAGCCUUGAACUUCCGAUUCUUCUGUCUCCACCACCUGAGUGUACUACUGCGGGUUCCCGCAGAACUGCGGGGUCAAACCCUGGGCCUCAUGCAUGCUAGAGAAACCUGUCAAUCAAGCUACAAACCCAGUCUGGCAAUAGCAAAAUUUAAACAAAACCCAAAACAGAACAAAGUAAAAACAAAACAAAACAAAAAACAAAACACCCCACAGCUUGGUGGUUUAAUUUUCUAAAUUAUUUUUAGAGACAGGGUCUCACUGUGUUGCCCACUUUGACCUGAUUCCCAGUCUUUAGCUACCUUGACCCUGCCUAACCCUCACCUGCUUAAUAUUCCCAAUUUCUGUUUCCCUCCCACAAGUCUGUCCCGAUUUUCUGCUAAGGAUACAUGUUAAGGUCCUGUUUAUUGUGUAUCCUCAUAGGGGGUACUUUGAUAUUUUCUUAAAUUGUGCAGCAGACAUGAAUGUCUCCCACAAAGGGAAAGCUGACAGGGAGGGGGGAAGCAUUUUGCUCUCUUAAAAAAAAUUGAGAGUGUAAAGUAUAUUUAAUUAAAAUGAUAAAUCUGAUUUUCAGUUUGGUUUUUACUACUGCUAAAACGAAUCCAUUUUAUGCACGUUCUGCAGAAGGCUGCUGCCAUCAAAGCUAAAGCACUAGAGCUACUUUCAGAUCUGUCUGUCUGUCUGUCUAUCUGACAAAGAAAUUGAGAGGCUCAGAUUGGGGACCUGAAGUCCCUGUAAUGAGUGAGCAGACAGGAUAAACACACCCACAGUGGUCGGAACUCUCUGCUGCUUCAGUUCCCUGGUGCAAGCCAGGGUGGGAAUUGCCAGGCUUGUUCUUUUGAAGGCUGCCCCUUUCUUGGGGAUGUACAAACAGCUCAGUUGGUCGACUGCAUACCCACAGUGCUGUCUACCAUCCCCAGCGCCUGUUCCAGCCUAAGCACCGCUAGCUCACAUUGGGCUUGGUGGUACACAUCUCUGAUCCCAGUAUUCAGAAGGUUAGGAAGGUCAUUAGUUCAAGACCAGCCUCAUAUACUCAGCAACUUCAAGGCCCACCUGGGUGGCAUGAAUCUGUCUCAAAAACAUUUUUUUUUUUAAAGUGGUCCCUUCUACUGUUCAGACUCCAGUUCCUCCCAGCCUCCCUGGGGAUGCUAACCACGCUCUGACAGUUCUCUCUGGCUUCUACAGCCCCACCACCUCCGUGGCUUCUCAGCCUUAGUCCAUGGCCACUUUUCUUCUGUCCUUUUAGUAACCAGACCUUUGUUCUUCUUGUCCUAGCAAGAGUUGAAAACAUGCUAUUGAGUUUGUAUUUCAUACUGUGCUUAAAGUUGCACGUGCAAAACCAUUUACUGAGUAGGUAAGACAUCCAUGUGGGACCAAAUUCAAAAGUCAUACAAUGGGGUAGACUUUUCCCUGUUCUUUUCCUUAAUAAACCCACCUUGAGGAGUGGAGAGAUGGUUCAGUAGUUAAGAGCACUAACUAUUCUUUCAAAAGAUCCUGAGUUCAAUUCCCUGCAACCACUUGGUGGCUCACAACCAUCUGUAAUGGGAUCUGAUGCCCUCUUAUGGUGAGUGUCUGAAGACAGCUACAGUGUACUCACAUAAAUAAAAUAAAUAAU
RNAcentral lists this long non-coding RNA (3475 nucleotides) under Mus musculus (house mouse). RNAcentral describes it as "long non-coding RNA chr11:101791023-101794498". Lineage: Eukaryota; Metazoa; Chordata; Mammalia; Rodentia; Muridae. The record is from RNAcentral.